RNAcentral lists this ribosomal RNA (500 nucleotides) under uncultured bacterium. RNAcentral's name for it is "partial 16S ribosomal RNA". It matches the Rfam family "Bacterial small subunit ribosomal RNA", at positions 28 to 507 of the family's 1533-position model. The record is from RNAcentral.
GACGAACGCUGGCGGCGUGCCUAAUACAUGCAAGUCGUGCGGACCUUGUUGAAAGCUUGCUUUUAAAAGGUUAGCGGCGGACGGGUGAGUAACACGUGGGCAACCUGCCUGUAAGACUGGGAUAACGCCGGGAAACCGGGGCUAAUACCAGAUCGUUUUUUCCUCCGCAUGGAGGAAAAAGGAAAGGCGGCUUCGGCUGCCACUUACAGAUGGGCCCGCGGCGCAUUAGCUAGUUGGCGGGGUAAUGGCCCACCAAGGCAACGAUGCGUAGCCGACCUGAGAGGGUGAUCGGCCACAUUGGGACUGAGACACGGCCCAAACUCCUACGGGAGGCAGCAGUAGGGAAGCUUCCGCAAGGGACGAAAGUCUGACGGAGCAACGCCGCGUGAGUGAAGAAGGCCUUCGGGUCGUAAAACUCUGUUGCCGGGGAAGAACAAGUGCCGUUCGAACAGGGCGGCGCCUUGACGGUACCCGGCCAGAAAGCCACGGCUAACUACGUG